UGUCAUCGGAUCAAAUGGGCGGACCGACCCUCACCCUAGUAGGUGGCUGGUGGCGGCCCAGCUGAGAGGAGGAGGGUCUAGAGGGGCAGGUACUUCACGGUGAGCCACCGGCGCGAGACCAGCGGCAGCGGCGGAAGGGUGGUGUAGUGGCGGCAGCGCCGGUGGGGGCGGCGCGAGAAGUGGCCGCGGCGACUGCCGUGGCAGGAGGUGACCGGGGAGGGAGGAAGGGGCGGGAAGACAGGUGCGGGGAGGAGGGAGGAGACGCGAGUGCGGCGCCGGUAGUGACGGGAGACGGGGGAGGGGAGGGGGCGGAGGGAGGAGCAGAGGACGUGACGGCCGCAGGAUAGGGAGAAGAGGCGGAGGCGGGGGGAGGCGACGGAGGCGGCGGCGAGCGAGGGCGGGACCCGGCCGAGGGGAAGGGAGCAGCUCGAGGAGGGGUGGUGGUGGAGGAGGAGGCGAAGCAGCUUGGGGGCCCAGCGCUAAGAGACGGUGGGGGUGCUGCUGCCGGUGCGGGUGGCGGUGCACAGGCGUGAACACCAGCAGCUGCGGGCGUGGGAGCGUCAGGAAGUGUGGCGGAAGGUGCCCCGGGAGAGGCAGCGUGAGGGCUCCCGCUAGCGCGAGUGCCAGACGUCGCUACUGUUACGGCAGUCACAACACGACCGACUGCGCGUUCCCGCCCGCGUCUACCACGGGCACCACCUCCAGCGCCGGCAGCUCCCACUGAGCGGCUCCGCCGAGUCGCACUCAAGGAACAGAUCGAAACGUGGACGUCUCCGCGGCCUACCAUGCCACCUCCGGCACCGCAAUAGCCUGCUGCCCUUCCAGCAACGGAACCACGACUUCUGCUCGACAAACAACUUUACGCAACAGCUCCCAAGGCACGACCCACUCCACAGAGACCGCUUGUGAAGCGAUACGUUCCUCCCCCUUUGUCCUCAGUUCCCGACGGAAAGACCUCCCAAAAAAGAGGUGCCUCCCCUCACCCCUCCGGGAGUGAGACUCCUUCCGUGACACCAGUCCUCGAACCACAACACCUCGUCGUUACCACCACGGUACCACAUGUUCCAACGACAACCAUGAGGAGGUAACAAACCCACACUCCGACAUACACUUCAAGGACCAUAAAGUAGGCUCGUCCCUCUUUACGGUCAUUAAGUUAUAACGGUCUACCCGUUGACAGAAUAAUCCUACCUUAGGGCAGGCAUAUUCUAACCACCAAGGAACAAAACCUUUGGCAAGUAGAGGUAUACCAGAUACCUAGUUGAUCUAAACUCAUAACGUUGCUUGUGUCUCUCGGGUGGAAACUCGUUUCAAGAACCUCUUCCGUCAGAAGUCCCUCUUCUUAAAUCCAGUCUCGAGAGAUUAAGUGAUGGGUUCAGUCUGUUACCUCACCUUUAUUCAAGUGUCUAUACGAGUCGUAUGUAGUUACCUAGCCCUUUCGUACCUUCCUGGCAUAGAAGAAGCUACCAUGAAAGGCUCCUAAGAAUACGAGGUAUACGGUAUCAAAUACCAAAGGUAUUACCACUGUAUCUUCAAUAAGCUAAAGAGUUAGACAACGGUCGCCGUGUUAAACCAUCGCCUCCCCAAAUGGGUGUAUAAAGACUUUCUAAAAAGAACCCCGUGUUCCCUCGUUAAGAAACGAACCGACGUGUGGUGUACGUACGGGUGAGACUGAGAUCUUCGAAAGCUGCUCGUGAGUAUAGCCCCUCAAACCUAACAUGCUAAGCACAGACCCUAGAACUACGGCCGUGGGAGGAAAGACACUACGUAGUGGUACAACGCCGCCAAUUCGUUUAUUAUGAUGGUGGUCGAACAUGAGUAGUCGGAACCCUACUAACAAAACAAAGACAACCUCUUCUACCGGAACAUCGUGAACAAAGAGAAGUUUGGUACGCACAGCUCUCCUACAAAGGACCCGUAAGAACAAUAGGUAGUUACCAACGAACCCUACCUCAUUUUCCCAUGUAACGAACAAAUACGGCAUCAGACGUGAGAACAUUACUGCACCCGUCGUAUAACAUAUAUACCCUAUACUUUUGUCCACGAGCUCUGGCUUAAUAAUCUCCCUGUUGUAGAGUUAGUCAUAAACUUGUGAAGACAUCCCCGUAAAGGUUUUUAAGUCAAUGACCACCGUAGAACCCUCCCUGUUGAAGUCGUAGAAGGAAUGAACAAGGUUAAAACUUUCCGUGGGUCAGAGGACGUUUAUCUUUACCCUACUUGUAGAGUAGAUAUGGUUGCUUGGUAGUGUCACGACGUCUAAGGUAUCGAAACUCACAGAGACGACGCGUACUACACUUCCCCUUCUGUGGUCGAGGUCAACUAUCUCUAUUAAGACGUAUAUCAAGUCCUUUUAGACCGAGAAGGGUCUAUUGUUUGUUUUCUUCUUUCAUGGGGUAUUUCACGAGUACAGGUAUAGGGCCGUAACGUUCAGACUCUAAACUGGAGUGACGUUAAUACAGGCGUGUUCCGUACAGUUUGUCGUUAUCACUAUCCGUCAACUCUCUAGUAGAAACACCACUACGAUUGUUCCUUUGAUGCGGUGGACCUCGAAAUUUAUUAUGAAGGCCCUAGGAUCUUUACCUAUCGGGUAGAUCUCUCAGUAACCUUCCCGUUAAUGAAGCUAAAUCAGAGACAAAAGACGUAAACACCCUACAACUAACACUCGACCUGUUUAAUGAACACCUACUCUACGUUCAAACGUUCGGUCUUCCAACAGUAUAUCGAUGUCCCCAACAUCCCCUAUCUCCGAGCAAAUGCCACUACAAGGGUCCCUUUCUUCGGUGAGAACUCGAAACCUUCAGGAGACGACUUAAAACACGAUACUCCAGCGACAGUUAUCAAAGAGAACGGGUUGCGUACUAGUGUAAUAGAGCCAGAACAUGUUUACGAUCGUCACGGAACCGUCGAAAAAUAUGUUCUGUGAAACGACUCUUUCAGGGUCUAUAUUUCGGGGGUAGGGAGGUCGAAGACCACUCGAAAACCGUUGUAGGAAGACUUGUACACGCUUACCGACGGGCGAGGAAUAAAGUGACGAGUCGAGGAGCGAGACAAGGUGUUGGGGAGGCACAUGUCUCUUUAUUUUAAGGACUGGUGAACAGAAAUAGACUAGUAUACCUGUUCGAAUAGGGUCUCUACGUCUCACGGAGUUAUAGAUCAAUACCUGUCAACUUCCACCUACCACUUUUAGAACUGUCCCUACUACUACUAUGAAGAGUUUAUUAGAGUACCGACCUUAGUAAACUCUUAGUCCUCACCGAUAGAACCUAACCUCCUUGUUCGGUCCUACGUCACCGUAGUUUAUAGUAACAACGUCGACGAAAGCAACAAACCAUGGGUUCGUAACACUUUCAAUUCGAACGUUUCAACCAACAGUUAGUUGAUUAGUUUAAUCAAUACAGCUACUUACUAGCAAUGUCAAGUUGACGUCGACUUGAAGAUCGCCUCCCUUACCUUUCGUGUACCUUUCGUACAAACCCCUGACUGUAGUGAGUAAAGAACUCACUGCAGGAAAAGGUUUAACUCACAGAUUCAUCACGUGGAAGAUCGUUACAGUAGAUAUUUUGACGUCAACGACAAUGUUACUCCCUCCGUAAUCAACCGUGGGAAGAUGGUUCGAACCGAUACCGACUGUAUUACCCUAAAAAACCACAUUAUCUUUCAGUUUAAACCCGAUGAAGUAGACUAAGUGGACAAGUGCAUCAGAGUGAGUUUUGAGAGUAGGCUCAUGAAGCUCCGACAGGUUUCCGGGACCGAGGAAUAGAACUGUUCCGUUAGUCGAUAUAGGAUGUGUGCUACCUAGGUUCGUUAAAUUAUUACGCAUUUCGAACGUAAUAGUCGAGUUACUACCGAGAUUCUCUUUAACGGGCACAUAAAGGUUACCAACGAGAGUUACUCUGUUACUGUUCUAAUCGACAACCACUACGAUAACCUCUCUAAGUGUCACGGUGUUAAGCACAAAUACUGUAUCUUUCACAGUGUUUUUAUUCCUAAGAGCUACGUACACCUGGUGGUCCAGAAGGUUCGAAAGAGUUUCCUGGUAGCCUAUGUUGUUGUUGGUAUGACUAUUGUCGAAACUCAAAGAGUGGUCUACCUCUCCCGGAACAGCGGAAAAGCCUCUUGCCUAACUACUAAUCUACCACCAGAGAACCAAGUCGGACCACCCUCUCCGAUUCGUCUUCGGAAUGAGGAUAAGUCACGUGUUUUGAAUAGAUACAAGGAGGUACCCUUCCUAAAAGUGGGUUGAGUCGAGCGGAUUCAUAAUAAAGAUUGUAGAACCCUGUACUAUUUGUAGUUUUAAGUCUCUCGUUCUGCUCCCUUGAUCUACUCCGACUAUUAGAUUUUGACGACAAUGUAUUAGAACUGGAAAGAAUGGCGGAAGUAACCCAACCACCUUUCUGGUAAUUUGAAUGUUCCGUACUAGUCCUGGACCCAUGUAAAGUCAACACUAAUUUUCUACUCAAUACCGAACAACUAUCGAAUACAUAGACCAACUCAACGGAACCUCAAAAUGAUCCAUCUACAUGACUUCAGACUGCUCCCACCGGGUUUCAUUUCGCUUCGGUGGUUCACUGUCAGUAUAUAGUAGUGGUUGUCCUAACAACUAAUGUUAUAACGUACCUCCAGAGACCUUCCUUGUCAAGACAAAGUGGUAGUCCGAUACGUCGUACGAAAGACUAACUGUCUAGUUCAUCACCGUUGGAUUCAUAGCAAUCACCCUUGACAGCUCUCAGUCCUCGAAGAGAGGCAAUUGAUAGUCGACUGUCGAACUUCUAAACUUCCUAGUCUGAGACCAUAAUUAAACGAACUCAACAUCAGUGUGUAGAAAGAAGUAAGACGACGAACAGUAGUCGCAACAUGAUGGUAGUGUCUAUGGAUGGCGGACUUCUAAACCUGAACCAUCACAACUCUACUGUCCGUGGUUUCCCUGUAAAGUGGUUUGAUCAUGAGGGAGGCAAGCCUUAAUGAACAGCAUCUUUACCUACAUAGAUCUACAUAAAAUCAAGAUCUAUGUAGGUAAAGGUUCUGUUCAUUAAGGCUUGCCUCCCUCAUUAUGAAGAUAUUGACUUAUAUCAAUUUAGAACUAAAUGACCGUUCCGUAUAAAAGUCCGAAUACAUUCCCUUACAUGUUGACUCCAACUAUAUUUCACAACUUCUUAAACGGACUGUUCUUGCGACAUAUCACAUUUUACAUUUACUAACACGGACAUGUCCAAGAAAAACCGUAAAAUGUGGGUACAUUCUUAUUAAGCAAG
This 5252-nucleotide ribosomal RNA is filed under the name Triticum aestivum (bread wheat). RNAcentral's name for it is "partial small subunit ribosomal RNA". Lineage: Eukaryota; Viridiplantae; Streptophyta; Magnoliopsida; Poales; Poaceae. The record is from RNAcentral.